RNAcentral lists this ribosomal RNA (424 nucleotides) under Verrucomicrobiota bacterium. RNAcentral describes it as "Verrucomicrobia bacterium partial 16S ribosomal RNA". It matches the Rfam family "Bacterial small subunit ribosomal RNA", at positions 355 to 776 of the family's 1533-position model. The record is from RNAcentral. Lineage: Bacteria; Pseudomonadati; Verrucomicrobiota.
UGAGGAAUAUUGGUCAAUGGGCGAGAGCCUGAACCAGCCAAGUAGCGUGCAGGAUGACGGCCCUAUGGGUUGUAAACUGCUUUUAUAUGGGAAUAAAGUGAGGGACGUGUCCCUUAUUGCAUGUACCAUACGAAUAAGGACCGGCUAAUUCCGUGCCAGCAGCCGCGGUAAUACGGAAGGUCCAGGCGUUAUCCGGAUUUAUUGGGUUUAAAGGGAGCGUAGGCUGUUUGUUAAGCGUGUUGUGAAAUGUAAGAGCUCAACUUUUAGAUUGCAGCGCGAACUGGCAGACUUGAGUGCGCACAAGGUAGGCGGAAUUCAUGGUGUAGCGGUGAAAUGCUUAGAUAUCAUGACGAACUCCGAUUGCGAAGGCAGCUUACGGGAGCGCAACUGACGCUAAAGCUCGAAGGUGCGGGUAUCGAACAGG